GAUGCCCACCUCUCAUCACAGGCCCAUGCUGGGGCCAUGCACACAGAUUACCUGGAAUGACUGGCCCACAGAACCCAUCAUUGGAUCACAGGCCCAUGCUGGGGCCAUGCGCACAGAUUACCUGGAAUGACUGGCCCACAGACUCCAUCACUUGGGGGUGUUUGAUGAGAGAGACAAAGUGAGAAGGCGAGUUAAAUACGUUUUGAUGAAGAUAGACAGAGCUUCACUCUUGUUGCCCAGGCUGCAGUACAAUGGUGCGAUCUCAGUUCACCACAACCUCCGCCUCCCGGGUUCAAGUGAUUCUCCUGCUUCAGCCUCCUGAGUAGCUGGGAUUACAGAGCCUGACUUUCUCAUCGAAACCAUGGCUGCUUGGACCCAGGCUCUCCCCAUGAGGUAAUAAAUGUGCAAGCACUUUGCAGGGAAAAUAAGUGCCUGACACCUGACAUAAA
This 449-nucleotide long non-coding RNA is filed under the name Homo sapiens (human). Its description in RNAcentral is "long independently transcribed non-coding RNA 2782 (LINC02782)". Lineage: Eukaryota; Metazoa; Chordata; Mammalia; Primates; Hominidae. The record is from RNAcentral.